This is a long non-coding RNA of Cyprinus carpio carpio, 3648 nucleotides long. NCBI's taxonomy places the organism in Eukaryota, Metazoa, Chordata, Actinopteri, Cypriniformes, Cyprinidae. The record is from Ensembl.
CGGCAACUCAGCUGACAAGUAGCAAAUCUCUCCGUCUCUCACUGUUGUUUUUACUGCUUUCAGAAAUGGUUCAGUGUCAUGGGAAUAAGUCCGUUAGCAUCACAACCGUGAGCUAACAGAGGCUAACUAUAAGAGGUAAAAGCGGUUCAGGGGAAAGUUGCUGAAACCCUGUUGCACGACCUGAAACCCAGGAGAUUUUGUGGUGGUACGAGACCUGAGGCGAAAGAGCUGGAAGGCAUAAAGGUGGCUGGGACCGUUCCAGGUGCUUCUGACCACUCACACGGCUGUGAAGGUAGCUGAGAGAGCAACGUGGAUUCACACCAGCCACUGCAGAAAAUUCCCAUCUGCAUCUAAGGAAGAGGAGCGGAGGGAGUAAAAAUCUAAAGAUACACACGUCAACAAAGGCCAGAAUCCAGCAUAAACAUCAAGCGUCCUUAUCAGCAGAAGAGCAAGGUCAAGACUGAAAAACAGCAUCGAAGCAGCCUGCGCACAAGUGAAAAGUUAACAAAUAUUAGUAUCACAGUUGGGUGCUCAACCGAGGCCCAUGAAAUUCUGGCACAGUGAGAGAAAGGCUGGGAAAGGUUACACAACCAUAGUUGGGCAAUCGGCAUCAGGGAGGAGGUGCAGCUUCAAAGAUGGAAGCAGCAGAGCGGCAGAUCAUCUCCAACCAGUCUACCUCAUACUUCCUGGGCUGACAACCGUACAAAAGACACUGCCAACCGACAGAAUGGAGCAUGCAAGACAACGACACCCAUUCAGACUGCAAGGACUGUGUGGCCUUAGAGGUACAACAUUUAUAUUGGCUGCACUGACUGUAAUAAUAUGUUCGACUGCAUCUUACCUGACUGCAGAACUAGUAGGGGAGGUGACCAGUUAUAAUCCAGGUGAAAACACCACAUCGAACCAUACGAAUCAUCAACGAGUGAAGAGAUCAACGCUGACUCUAGUGGUACCAACGCAUGGACUGGACAAAGACAUCGUAAUGGUAACAGAAGGGUCAAAUGUGAAAUUCAACUGUAACCCAUUCAUUAAGAACUGUCCAUAUUGUGGAAGGCCUGAAUACGAAGACACAAGCAGCGCUGAGUAUGCACAAGUCUACUUUUGCAGACAUCCGUGUAAAUGGAGUGAGGUGAAAGCCUUCGAACAUCCUGAGAGCUAUGGAACAGAUGGGAGAUUUAAAGUGGUGAAGAGAAGCAAGUGUGGUCAAAACAAGGGCGGGAUGUCUGUCAUAAUUGCAAAAGUCAGGACUUCGGAUCAAGGCAAGUACUACUGUGGCAUCAAUAAAACGGGAACUGAUUGGUAUGAAGCAUUAAGCAUUGUCUUGGGCAAGCCAGCACCACAGCCAGUGAAACAUCUUGUUGAGUCUGCUUUUGAACCAGCUACAAAGGAAGAGGCAGUGUGGAUGGGAAACAAGGAAGCGGGCAGAGGGGGAAUGAAUCCUACACUGCAAAAAGCCAUGACGAAGUGCCAGGGGAAUAAGGCGUGUACUUUGGCACUGUUGCAGAAAGAGGAGUUGAAGAUAAACACCAGCUGCUGGCUGUGUCUGCAGAUGUCUCACUCAUGGAGAGCUGCUCCAUUGACUGUAACAACCCUAAAGGAAUCCAGAUGCCUAAUAUCUCAACAGAUGGCAGAAGUGUUGAUGGCUGCGGAUGAUAUAGAGAAAGGGAGGAUGCCGAAGAGGAAACCGGAACCUGACUGCAAUGGAACACAGUGGGACGACAAAUCAGACAUGAUGAUACCACCGUUGAGAGUGGUGCACACGCAAGGGGAUGUGUGCAUCUGCCAAACGAGACCCAGAUUGAAGCUGAAGGCGGGAUAGUCUGACUGCAGGAUCAGGAUCAACAUCAAGAAUGGAACAGCGAAUAACUGCACAGCAAACAUUGAUGGGACACUGACAACGUUCACAUGUACUUUCAACAGACCGAGCGACACUUCACCUGCUGCUGAGUGGGUGUGUGUAGACAGAGCAUAUCAUGACCUGCCAGAGAAAGGAUGGACAGGGUGUUGUUAUCCAGCAUUAAUGAAUGUAGGGACAUCUGUGUACUUACCAAGUGAAGAGCAUAAAGGUGAGAGUAGAAAGAGAACAAGUGUUAACAUUUUACCAGGGGCUCUACCAGAGAAGUAUAAUGGGUAUAAUCUAUCAGAUCCUUGGACAACACCAGGUGCUAACAUAGGUGGUCACUUUUCUUAGGAGUAGGAACAGCAGUGAGCAUAAAUAAGAUCAAUGGGUUAGCAUGGACAGUAAUGGCCAUAGCUAAUAGCAUUGAAAAUUCUCUGACAAUGGUUAAUGAUGAAAUGAAACCAUUAAGAGAUGCAGUUAUACAAAAUAGAUUAGUUCUGGAUAUGCUUACGUCGCAAUCUGGGGGGGUCUGUAAAAUGUUGGGUACAUCAUGUUGUUUUCAUAUUCCAGACUACAGCAACAAUGUUACCAAUAUCUUUGCCCACAUGAGAAUGGCCAUAAAAGAGCCUGAGCGCACACACGAUAUAUGGGCAGAAUGGCUGACAAACAUGUGGGGAGGGUGGGGAUAUUGGCUGUGCAACACUGUGUUACCAAUUGUAGCAGUAUAAUUUUUGCUGCUAUUAUGUUUACAAUGUAUUUUUCAGUUCAUAUCCAGCUCAGUAUACAGAGACUGGUGAAGUCUAGAGUUUCACAUCAAAUGGUUAGACUGAAUGUGUACAACAAAGACAUUAUUAUGGAUUUGUGUAGGGAGAAAACUGUUGAUGAAGAGACAACCUGUAGCGAAAGCUACAGUAAAAUGUGUUAAAUGCAUGGAACCUAUGAUAUUUUCUUUGAGAAUGAUAAGUAAUGUUUAGGCACAUCUAUGUCUAUACUGUUUGCUUGCUCAAAAUAGGGUCUAUCCCCAAACAAAAAGCCUUAGCAUAUUUUCUAACUUCUUUCACAAACUUAAGAGAGUGAUCAUUUAUGUGAAAAUCAGAGAUGAAGAGUAUAAAUGUGAUGUAAUAACUUAAGUUUGCUUUAUUGGAAUUAUGUUUGUUUUCUUGUUUGAAUUUUUUAAUUUGAAUUGUGUUUUGAAUCUGUGAGGUGACUGAGGGUCUGACUUAUGUCAGAAAUGCAAGCCUGGCUUCCAGAGCACAUAUAAUGUUAAGAGUGUAGUGAAUGUAUAACCAGUAGUAAUGAUUUUUUUCUGUUUUAUUGAUCAAUGAAUGAUAAAAAGGGGGAAAUUUUAGUGGAAAAAAUUCAUUUACAUUGCUUCUGCAUGACCAUAUAUGCAUGUGUUUUCUUAGAACUGCUGUGUGGACACAGUGAGAGAUGGGUUAAGGGCCUAAGAGUAAGCUGUAUGGGCAACAGGUGGUCCAUGGACCCGUGUUGGGUGCAGAAGGGAGACACCUGGGGGGGAAACAGAUGUUUGAGGAUGACCUGAGAGGUCAUUUGGGCCAUAGAAAUGGUGGAAAUAGAUGCCUAAGGAUGACCUGGGAGGUUAGCUAAGGACUAAAUAUGGGGGGAACCAACCUUUAGAAGAAUGAUAUAGUAGUAUGUUUCUGACUUUCUUGCUAUCUAUGGAAAAGCACAGCUGUUAAGAGUUUAUAACCUUGACUGGGGAAAAGGGAUAUAAAGUGGAGGACUGCCCUCCCUUCCUUGUCACACUCUGCAGCGACCUGUGUUUCUGUAUGACUGUCUGACCUUCU